GCCCGGGUGGUGGAACGGUAGACACGGGGCCCUCAAAAGGCCCUGUCCGCAAGGGCGUGCGGGUUCGAAUCCCGCCCCGGGUA
This 83-nucleotide transfer RNA is filed under the name Actinomycetes bacterium. RNAcentral's name for it is "Actinobacteria bacterium tRNA-Leu". It matches the Rfam family "tRNA". From Rfam's summary of the family: Transfer RNA (tRNA) molecules are approximately 80 nucleotides in length. Their secondary structure includes four short double-helical elements and three loops (D, anti-codon, and T loops). Further hydrogen bonds mediate the characteristic L-shaped molecular structure. tRNAs have two regions of fundamental functional importance: the anti-codon, which is responsible for specific mRNA codon recognition, and the 3' end, to which the tRNAs corresponding amino acid is attached (by aminoacyl-tRNA synthetases). tRNAs cope with the degeneracy of the genetic code in two manners: having more than one tRNA (with a specific anti-codon) for a particular amino acid; and 'wobble' base-pairing, i.e. permitting non-standard base-pairing at the 3rd anti-codon position. Lineage: Bacteria; Bacillati; Actinomycetota; Actinomycetes. The record is from RNAcentral.